Molecule: ribosomal RNA, 301 nt
Filed under: uncultured bacterium
Lineage: Bacteria
Description: partial 16S ribosomal RNA
Rfam family: Bacterial small subunit ribosomal RNA
Source: RNAcentral
CAGUAGCCACGGUAAUACGUAGGUCCCGAGCGUUGUCCGGAUUUAUUGGGCGUAAAGCGAGCGCAGGCGGUUAGAUAAGUCUGAAGUUAAAGGCUGUGGCUUAACCAUAGUACGCUUUGGAAACUGUUUAACUUGAGUGCAAGAGGGGAGAGUGGAAUUCCAUGUGUAGCGGUGAAAUGCGUAGAUAUAUGGAGGAACACCGGAGGCGAAAGCGGCUCUCUGGCUUGUAACUGACGCUGGGGCUCGAAAGCGUGGGGCGCAAACAGGAUUAGAUACCCCCGUAGUCCCUGUCUCUUAUACA